This is a long non-coding RNA of Protopterus annectens (West African lungfish), 3334 nucleotides long. RefSeq lists it as uncharacterized. The record is from RefSeq and is a predicted model, not a curated record. Lineage: Eukaryota; Metazoa; Chordata; Ceratodontiformes; Protopteridae. The transcript is spliced from 2 exons.
GAACUACCUUGCUUGAAUAUACAAGAACAUAAUCUACUCUUAGCGAAGCAGAACUAUUCUUCCUCCAUAUCUUUCUGGAUAUCUUUACACAAUACCGACAAAUGGUGAAAUUUAUAUUUUUUCAGUUCCGCCUUUUGUUCAGAAAGAUGACUAUAUUUUCUACUUCCUUCUGUAAUUCUUCCACUUUGUGAUGAACUACCAGUCUUCUGGAUGGAAUCCAUGAUAAUUACAAUGGUGGUAACUUCAGCCAACUACUUAGUGAAUUCAAAAAGAAACUCGAACAAUACAAAAUCCUAGAAUGAGAGAAUGAGAGAACCUCUUCUUUAGUACCUGCUUGUAAGUCAGGAGAGUGCCAUGAGAACUUCAUAUAAGAAAACUGCCUACUGAAUAUGUCUUAUCUCAGUUUAAUUUCUCCAAGUAUUUUGGGUUUCUAAUACCACAACAGGACUGGACCUCAUUCCUAAGUCAGGGUAUGCAUAGAGUUCACAAAAUUAGUAUUGUUUCAGUCUAUGAUGUUAGCCAAGUGUGCUGUUCUCAGCACCUGCAAUGUGCCUAGAAUUGCCCCCUUCUGUAAUACAUAUGGGGUUACAUGUACUGGUAGCAUAUCUAAGUACAACUAUAAAUUCUUUUUUAUUAGACUUGUUGCUCCUACUACUACUAAGUGAACUGUCUGGAUAUCUUCCUUCUGCAUUACUGUCUUUGGACUUGCUGAAUGAAUGGAAGACGGUCACUGAAAGACAGGUUUUGAAUAUUCAAUGUUCUUAUAAGGCACAAUGAAAUUUUAAUGCUGAAGUGCAUUAAUUGAUCUAGAGAGUUUCAUUGGGACAGCCUCUUUCUUUGACCUUCAGACGAAAAAGCCAAAAAAUAAAAAAAUUCAAGCUUUCUCUUUUGUUGAAAAGCACAGACAAUGUUACAAAAGCAGAAAUUGAAGACAUUCACCAGGGGUAAGAAUGACUAUAAGCACAUCUUUACAAGUCUGAAAUGUGCCAAUCCAACAUGGACAGCAAUUCCAAACAAGUAAAUCUUCAGACAACAGAAUAGAGUCAGGUCAAACAGAUUUACAGCCUCCCACCACUAGUCUUCUUGGUUGACCAUUCUGUACUGAAAUUCUCCACCAUGUCGAGGUGCUGCAGAAACCCAGUGUUCAUCCAACCAGCAGACAGAGAAAGUUUUCUACUAGUCUAUAACACACAUUGCAGCCAGAUACAAAAAUUAGUAGCUCACAGCUUUCCUGUCUAAAUUCUCAGCUCCAAGCAGGAACCCGAAGCACCAGAAAGGGGACAACUCCCAGAACUAGCAGCCAUACUACCAAAUCUGUGGCCUGGUAACAAAUAUGAGAUCAUUAGCUUAAGCAUCAAAAGCAUCACUGAGCAUGAGGAUAGUGUCCCUCAAAAGGUUUCACUUUUAUACUCAGCAAACAGCAAGCCUUGUUAACACAUGUGAUCACUGUCUGGAACUUGAAUAUAAGAAUGGAAUUCUAUAGACCUUCAACAACUCCCCAAAAAGAAUAAGAGCAAACAGUUUCACCCCCAUGCAUCAUGUCUUAUCUGCCUUUAAAAGAAUGUGCAAAAAAUAUGCCUCUUUUCCAAGCUAUUUCCAAACAAGUCUACAUUUUUACUCACCAAGGAGAUCAUAGUAUUAAACCAUUUAAGAAUGAUACCAGCAUUAGAUGCUUGAAACUUGGUGAGAGUGGCUGUUCAUUCAUUAUUAACAUGGCUGGCUGUGAACAUAGAAUGUUAGUCAUCCUCAUAUUCAAGAAUUUACAAAUGCACAGCAGCUGAUGGUGUAUUCAGAAUCCUAUCAGUGUAUUAGUCACUGAGGAAUCUGUUUGCCACAUUUCUAAUAACACUGGAAAUUAUUCUAAGUUGACCGCCUGUGUCCCAGCCAUUUGUAGAGUAUCCAGAUUUCACCAGUAUAGAGACAGUCCCCCUAUAUAUCCCAUAGUGAAAAUUGUGGAUUCUAGACCUGAACCCAUGGCUAUUUACUUAGGCAAGCUCAAAACCAUUGUCAGUGAAACCAUGUGAUUUAUCAUUGACACUACUGAUAUCAUCAGUAAGAUAGAUACAUUUCUAGUCCAUGUUGACCAUCUACAGAUCACUGUGAUGUUGAGUCCUUUUUAUGUUCUCCAUGUAGUGAAAGUAUGGCAGCCAUGAGACAGGCUUUAUGUAAAUGGAGAAAUUCCUCUAAUAGUAAAGUAAACAGCAUCUGCUUCCUCUUGGAACUAGUAUUCAGUAACAAUUUCUUUGUCUCCAGCUGCUAGGUGUAUAAACAUGUAAGUGGUACAUUCACGGGUCAACCAUGUACCUUCAUCUUUUACAACAUGGUCCUGGUUAAAUGGGAGUCGCAUACAAUUGAGAAUCAGAGGUUGUUUGUGGUUGUUCAGGAUGGUGGCAAAUGGCUGCCAGUGAGCAAAAUGCUAUUUUAUAAUUCUGGUUAAUAAGUUACUUUCUAUCUGAAUUCUGAAGAAUGAUUGUAUUUUGCUGGCUAAUACUUUUAAGUAGCUAUUGUGAGAACUUGUGCAUGGGCCAUAUUGCUGUUGAGCACCAGGUAAAUACCUACAGGGACACAAGGAGAGAAUGCAGUAUGUGUGCAAAAUGUACCCCAACUCAAACUCACUUGAGAAAACAAGAUGAUGUUUUUUAUUUUGUGCCCAUCAUGGGGACCUGGAGUAGACUUAUGUAGGUUUUGCAUUUUUUCUACUAAUGUUAACAAUUACCACUUUUAUUCCAAAGAUUGCCCAUGUUUCUUUGAACUGGACUACUGAUAAAUGAACUAUUACAAGGUUCCUGCAGGUGGUUUGCAAUCAUACAAUGCAACAACAUGACUGUCUUUGCUUAUGCUAUGCUGCUGAGUUCAACAUUCAGUUCCAUUCCCUUGCAUUUCUUCAUUUGAUAUUAAGAUUAUCAGAAGCAUCAGCAUUUAAACUGUAGCUUGAUGUGAAAUAACAUAAAUGAAUAGUUAUAUUAUCACUUGUUUCAUGUUGAAGUAGAUAGAAUGCUUUAAGCGUUAUCUUCAAAAUGUCGUAAGAUAUAUUGAUUUUAAUACUUUAUAGAUGUGCUUUAAUUGUUGAAAAAUCUUGCCAGUGUGAUGAGUUAAUGGCUGCUAAAUUGACUACUGUAUUAUGUUUAUAAGCUGCCUUUAACUUUCAUUGUCUGAACAGUCUUGGGAUUACUGUCUGUUUCUGCCAUCAUGAUGUUAUAUUCUUCCCUAUUGACUCUAACAGCAGUUGCUUCAUGAACUAUGUUUAUCAUUUACAUUAGUGUUUCUGUUCAAGCUUUCAUGUCACUAUUUAGACGAGUAAUACACUCCAUAAAACAUCACUUUUACAAAUGUU